Gossypium raimondii (Peruvian cotton) is the source of this 106-nucleotide non-coding RNA. NCBI's taxonomy places the organism in Eukaryota, Viridiplantae, Streptophyta, Magnoliopsida, Malvales, Malvaceae. The record is from Rfam.
ACCUCGUGGUGAGGGCAUUUGUGUAAUAACCCUUUAAAUCUUUCCCUUGUCUCAUAUAGGGAUUCGUCAUCCAAUUGCUGAAAAGUAGUGAUCUCAUUUCGCAGCU